This 253-nucleotide ribosomal RNA is filed under the name uncultured bacterium. RNAcentral's name for it is "partial 16S ribosomal RNA". It matches the Rfam family "Bacterial small subunit ribosomal RNA", at positions 524 to 776 of the family's 1533-position model. The record is from RNAcentral.
UACAGAGGGUGCGAGCGUUAAUCGGAAUUACUGGGCGUAAAGCGCGCGUAGGCGGCGACGUAAGUCGGGUGUGAAAGCCCCAGGCUCAACCUGGGAAUUGCAUUCGAGACUGCAUUGCUGGAGUACGGAAGAGGAGGGCGGAAUUCCCGGUGUAGCGGUGAAAUGCGUAGAUAUCGGGAGGAACAUCAGUGGCGAAGGCGGCCCUCUGGUCCAGUACUGACACUCAAGUGCGAAAGCGUGGGGAGCAAACAGG